Molecule: ribosomal RNA, 480 nt
Filed under: Triticum aestivum (bread wheat)
Lineage: Eukaryota; Viridiplantae; Streptophyta; Magnoliopsida; Poales; Poaceae
Description: partial small subunit ribosomal RNA
Source: RNAcentral
AUGUUGCGCUGCGCCAGCUUCAGCUCCUGCUAUCUUCCCCAGAUUAAUGCCACGCCCGCCCUUCUUCUCCCUCAACUCAAGCAGCUCGACCUCUUCGACGUUGUCAUCUCGAAGAAGGCUAUGGAGCACCUGCUCCGCAGCUGUACUGCGCUUGAGUACCUUCGUCUUGAGCAGAUCCACGGGUUCAUUAGCCUCCACAUCGCCUCAACGAAUCUCCAAUGGUUUUAUGUGUCUUGCUGGCCCCGCAACAAGACAUCAAUUGGGAAGAGAUCAUUCCAGUUGUUCCACAUUAUGGUCAUUAAGAAUGCGCCUUUCCUUGAGAGAUUGCUUGUAUCGGAUCUAGAAGGUCCAACAAAAAUCAGGUUCAUUGACGCGCCGAAAUUGACAGCGUUGGUGUACUCGUCUGCCAAAUUCUCCGAACUCUUUAUUGGAUCCGUAAUCGUUCAGGUACAACACUCAUCUUCUUCUCCGUCUUCUUGA